UACGGGGGGAGCAAGCGUUGUUCGGAUUUACUGGGCGUAAAGGGCGCGUAGGCGGUCGUGACAAGUCACUUGUUAAAUCUCCGGGCUUAACUCGGAACGGUCAAGUGAUACUGUCGGACUAGAGUACAGAAGGGGCAACUGGAAUUCUCGGUGUAGCGGUGAAAUGCGUAGAUAUCGAGAGGAACACCUGCGGCGAAGGCGGGUUGCUGGGCUGAUACUGACGCUGAGGAGCGAAAGCGUGGGGAGCAAACGGG
This 254-nucleotide ribosomal RNA is filed under the name uncultured bacterium. RNAcentral describes it as "partial 16S ribosomal RNA". It matches the Rfam family "Bacterial small subunit ribosomal RNA", at positions 524 to 776 of the family's 1533-position model. The record is from RNAcentral.